UUUAUUCAACCAUUACAACAAUUCAAUUUCCAAAUAUGAACCAAAACCUACAUUACAUAAACCAAUUUCCAUCCAUAUUUUUAAACAUCCAAGCAUAACAUUUCAAGCAUACUAGCAUUGCCAUCAUACACCAACUCAUGGAAAAAAUAGCAUAGCACAUGUAUCAUACAUAAACAAGCCAUGUCAAAUGCAAUACAUAACCAAAAUCUAAUUACAUGUUAAUUUUCCAAUCAUCUAAGGCAUGGACAUAGAAACCACAUUACAAAUCCAAAUAGCCUAUACUAUACAUAAUAUUUUCCAUACAACCAUGACCAGAAGACUUAGCCUAGCACAUCACUAAAACAAUUCCAAAUAGGUCACCAAUACAAACAAGACCUAAACCUAACCUAACCAUAAUCAAAGCCUAAAACAGUCCAACAUUGAUCAACCAAGCAAUAUCAACCAAACCAUAGCCCUGCAGUAGCAUAAACCUCCACCAAAUCAAUCAUAAUCAUGCAGUAUGAUCCAAAAUUCUGCAGCAAGCAUGUGUACACAAUCAUCCACAAAUUGAGCCAACAAUUCCAGAUCAGCAUAUGUAGUUUAGUAGCCUGCACCAUGAAUGAACAAGGCAACCAGUUCACAUUAAGAACACAACAUUCGACUAACCUGACCUUACAACCAACCUGCAACAACCAUCAUUAUGCAGCAGCCUAUGCAUAUACAACCAUAUGCAAUCCUGUAUAACUCCAAAGUCCAGCAACAAUACCAAAAUCCUGUAGCAGAUGAAAAUAAGGAUCAAAACAUUAACACCAAAAUCACUCAUUGCAACAACCAACAUUCACUCUUGUGUAAUUUUUCAUAACAAUAUACCAAGCAGGGCCCUGUAUAUUUCAAUUAACAGUAAAUGAAUGAAUCUCACAAUAGCUAACCCAACGCAUUCACUAACAGGGAUUCAUAGUUCAGUUAGCCGAAAUUUGUUUUUCAACUGACCUCAUCUCAUUAACUAACUCCAUCAUUCAAACGUUAACUAAAUCCAAAUUAACAACUAACAGUUGCUAUCUCUAAGUGUUUCAUUCAAUUCCCUAACCGCAUAAUAACUAACUUCACAUCACAAAACUGACAAUUAAAUCUAACUACAAUUGUUCUAAUAACUCUAACAACUAACUGAUUCAACUUUUAACAAAAAAUUCAGCUAACCAAACUAACAAUCCUAACAGAAAUUUUGUUAACUCUAACUUCCAACUGAAUCAUCUAACUAACUAAUCUAACAGAGUCUUAACCUGCAUUUGAAUUUCAACCUGGCCAAUUAACAGAGUUUAGCUCUGUUAACCUCACAAUCCCUAUAAAUUCAUCAAGCCACUCAAAAUUUUCACAGAUCCAUCAUUUCAUCACGAUCUCCAUCAUUCACUAUAACUGAACCCAAUCAUUCAACACAUUCACUCUUCACCCUCUCUCGAAAUCAGAUUCAGAAGCUCGACCUCUCAACUCAGAGCAUUCAUAAUCUGCAUCUGACUCAAUCCUCACAUCAUUCACUCACACAAAAUCAGCAAUAAACAUAAAGAAGGAGAAGAAGAAGAGUAGAAUUUCGAAGGCAAUGAGGGGUUCAGAGAACAAGAAUCUUACCAGAAUUCCGCUGUUAGCUUCGACGUCUCCGAUAGCGUAAGUUUCUCUUUCAUCUUUUUGCGUCAACCGUGUUACCGAAAUGUGAACGAAGGUGAGGGGGAAUCAAAGUCCCAACCUCUUGGACUCCGAUUCCCCGUGGUGAACAUUUAAUUUACCUUUUUCAUAAUUAGGGUUCUUCGACGGCUUGCAUCGAUUUAGGUUUUAGAAGUGGAAUUAGAGAAAAAUGGACAUUGGAUUUGGAUAGAGUGCCUUGAAACAAGUUGAAUGAUGUUCUUAGUUUGAUUUUAGAGGGGGAUCUGCCGCCGUAGACAGCCUCCGACACGGCGGAGGGAGAAACUAGAACGGAGGAGAGAGAGACGAGUUUGAACGCAUGUGUGGUUGAAUUUGAGUUUCACUUUGCACGUUUGUCACGUGUUAUUUUCAUGUUAAACUCAUUAACUGACGUGGCCUACUGCUGACUGGAAUCCUAGUCAGAUUUUAUCCUUAUCCAUUUCCAGAUAUUGCCAUGCACUUGGUUUCUAAUUGGGCAACCUCUCCCUAACUGCGUGCAUUGGGAUUUUGGGCCCCUGUUUGAGCCCGGGUGCACCUGCUUUUGGCACCUCUAUUUUGCCUGUUGAGCCCCUGUUUGGGCCUAAUUGUACAUGCUUGUUUUUUUUUGUUUUUUUCUUCAAGUUUUGUCAUGCAUUUGUAGGUGAUUUUAUUUUAGAAAUUGUGCAAGUUAAUAGGAUAUUAUUUGGUAGUUUUGACUAGAAUUUUAAUGUGAUUAAAGCGUUGAUUUAGAAUUAAUUAUGUCAUUUUAUGGGUUAAUUGUUAAAAAAUGAAAAUGAAAGAUGUAUGUUUGACAUAGUUUUUGUUUAGGUGAUCAAAUGCAUGAUAAUUGUGGAUGGCAUGAUAUGAUUUGAGUUGAUUCUUGUUUAAUUCUUUCAUGAUUGAUUGUUAGUCCUAAUUGAUUAGAAUUUUUUUUUGGAUUUAAUUUUGUUAAUGAAUUGAUUCUUGUCGGAAUUUGUGGUGUUGAUUUUCUUGGUUAGAACUUUGAUAUUUUUCUCUGAUUAAAUUUCACUUUACCCAAUGGAAUGAUCCCUUAGAUUUAGGUGUAUAGGACUGAUCCCUAGGGUUUUUCAAGUCAUUAUCUUUGUAUGCAUAAAUUUCUAAUUGAUUCAGUUGAUCAAAUAUCACUUUGAUCAAUUAAAUCCUUUGAUUGUGCUCAAUUCACCAAGCCUAUUCAAGUGAUCAAAAGAACCUUGAUCACUUGAUAGGACAAGUCCCUUGUGUUCAAGCUAUAUUGGAUAUAUUGGAUCUCAAAGAGCUGCGCAAGAAUUCAAAAUUCAAAGAUCAAGAUUCAAGACUUCAUGCAAAUUCAAAUCAGUACAAGACAGAAUGGACUACUAUUCAAGCACAACAAAGGUGAAUUCAACACUUGUCAAUCAUGAGCCAAGUUGUGUGUCAUGAGCCUUAAGUAAUAGAGAAUGAGUGAUAAUGUAGAAUUCAUAUCCUCAUUCUGAAUAUCUUUGGGUACAUCACGAAUGACCCAGUUGCUCACUGUACUCGCCUCUAUUCAUAGACUUUAGUGCAAUUUAAAUCGAACGAUUGAUAAGUCUUUAUACACAGAUAUGAGAUGCAGACUAAAGAUCAGAUUUCAACCUCCUAGGGUUUCUUCUUUUUCCUAAUUUUUCUCUCUCAGUAAAACUAAAACCAUUUUGUGAAUAAACUCAAAAAAACAAUUAACAAUACAAUUAAGAUUGUAUGCUACGAGCCUUAAGCAAUAGAGAAAGGGUGAGAGUGGAGAAUUCCUAUCCUCAUUCUAAAUAUCUUUGUGUAUGGGACGAAUGACCCAAUUUCUCACUGUAUUCACCUCCACUCAUAGGAUUUAGUAUGAUUCGAAUCGUGACUCUCUUUUCAGAAUAAAAGCAAACUUACCUCAUCAAACUCAGUUUUGCCUUUGGGUUUCAUUUUCUGUUAAAAGCCUUUUCAGAAAUGACGUGUUACUUCCGUUCUACCGUGAACGAAGCUUAAACCUCCAUGUGUGAGUAAGCAAUGUUUAACUGCUAGAGUGCAAUCUGAGGUUAUCCAUUCUACCACUACAAGCAAAUGCUUAAGACUCUCAUGCUCGGGCAUACAAGCAAGUUGACAGUAGAACGUGAAUGUUAAUAAUGUUCAUUAAAAACAACUAACACAUCCAUCUUAGUUCCAUGAACUACGGAGCUCUGAUUUCCUCAUUGCACAAAUGAGGAAAUGUAGGCAUGAUGGCCCGAAUCCUUGGCGAGCACAUUAAUUAUUCACCCUCAUUUCUCUUUGACGAGUAAUCUUUAGAUAAUAACACCCGUUCUUGCAAAGAACAUUCAAAACUUUUCCCAUGUAGUACCAUGGAUGCGAGAAAUGAUAAUACCCCCCCCCCCUCCCUUGCAUAAUCGACUUCCAUACCCAUUUCUCAUUCCCCCGGGUUUUAUCGAUGUUUUCCCUAUAAGAUCAACAUCUGACUCAGUGUCAGAAUCAACAUCUGAUUUGACAAUAGGGGCAUCAGGGUGAGUGGGUUUAGAUGGUUAAGGGGUUUUAAAAGGAAUUAGAGAUGGCAAGUUUUCUGGUUGGGAUAGUUGGGAUAAGAGAAAAGAUGGAAAGAAUGGUUUAAUUAUUGGUGUGAUGGUAAAGGCAAGGAUUUCAGAAAUAGUUGGUGAGGGUGGUGGAAUAAUGAUAUUUGGAUUUUUAGAUUGGGAAGUAGAAAUAUGCAUGGUUUCCAGAACAUAUGGAACAUUGAAUGGAAGUGUGGUUGGAAUGGAUGAAUUGAUGGUAGAUGAUGGGAUAGAUGAACUGUUAACAACAAUUAUCAAACAAAUAUCAGAAGGAAUAGAAGUUCCACCUGAAGUAGCUCUAUAAGCUUUGUGUUCUUCAACAAAAUUAUGUCAUUGUUCCCUUGAAGCCUUAAACUUCUUGGUCAUUCUUUCAAAAUUCUUCUUAGCGGUCAUCCUCUACUUCUUCUGAGAAGUAACUUUAGAAGCCUCGAGAAGAGCAUCAAAAUGACACUUCUCCAAAAACUUUACCACCUCUUUCAGAGGAUAUGGCUUUGAAAAGAUAGUGAAAUCUUUCAAAGGAAUACUUAUGUUGAGAAUGGUAUCCCUGGGCAACUCAGAAGGAGGACUUACCAUUUUACUAAUAAUUCACAUAUUCUUCAGACCUAUAGUGUUAAGCAACUUUCCAGUCGUAGGUUUCAUACCUUCUGUAAAAUGAUCAUCUGUUAGAGAGUCAAUUAGUUGGCUCUCCAUAAGAAUGUUUGAAAUAAUCCUACCCAAAGGGAUGUCACUCUUUGUCCUUUUGCUACCAUCUCUGGUGUCUUUUACAGUAUCCCUUAGAUGUUGAAACAGAAGUGCAAGAAGAUUCACCUUCUUUUUAGAUUCAAUAUAGCAAAGGAUAUAUUGUUGAUCACCAUUGAUGUAGUUAGAGGAGUUGGUUAUUGGUAUGGUAUUAAUGCAUCCAAAAAGAAUUCUAGCCCAAACCUUCAGAUGAGAAUGAAGAUCCUUGAUUUUACUAGAGUAUUUUCCAUAGGAGAAAAUCACUUUAGACACCUUAGUCAAGUUGGAUUCCUUUUCUACCAUUUUUUCACACCUUAUACCGGACCCAUCAUGUCCAAUGAGUUUGGCUAUAAGCUUAUCAAAUAUCACUAUCUUCUUUCCAAAUACGAAUGAGGUAACUUAGAAAGGAGAUGACUUAACAUGAAUCCAAAAUUAUCUCACUAGGUUGAUAAAAAACUAGACCUUGCAGACAAUUGAAUAAAUUUUCCCAACCUUGAAAUUUACCAACAGGAAGAAGUUCAAUUCCAUUGUCCUUCAUAUUGUUAAACUCCACAAAGAGUUCUCCCAAUACUUCCAGUUUAUCUUCAAGAAAAUUCAAGGUAACCUCAGGAGCAUCAUAUGCAUCUUCAGUACAAAAAAGUUUUCCUGAAGAAGAUCUUGAUGUAUCAAUAUCUAGCAGAUGAGGAAGUUGAGGUUGUGGUUGCAAUAUCUAGAAGAUCUUCAUUUGUCUAAACAACACAAAUAAAACCAUAACAAAGAGAGCUAAACAACCAGAUCCAUAAACACAUACCAUCUUCAAUACCAAGACGUUAUGUGUUUAGGGAUCUUUUUUCUUCUUCAGAGAUCCAAAUCAUUUUCUUUUACUUCUUCUUCAGAGAUCUAGCACGUCAAACAUCACUACUAUUAUUUGUGUCAUAUUAUUGUUGUUGAUGUUAUUAUUGAGAUCCGAAACCCUAGAAUUUUUGUUGUUAUUAUUGAUGUUGUUUUUGUCGAUGUUGUUGUUCUUGUUAUUGAGAUCCUAAACCCUAGAGGUUGUUUAUUGACGUUGUUGUUAUUGAUAUUGUUGUUGUUUAUUGACGUUGUUAUUCUUGAUGUUGUGUUUGAUUUUGUUGUUGUUUUCUUGUCGUUUUUGUUGUUGAUAAUGAUAUUGAGAUUGUAUUUUUUGUGAUUCUUUAUUCAACUCUCAUCUUGUUCCGUCUAGUUGAGUUUAUUAUAUCUAAUGUCAAUUGUUUGUUUCACUAACCCCUCUUUGAAUAUAUAACCUAGUAAAUUAAUUUUGGUAAUAAUCAUAUGCAAAAUUAUGUUGUAUCUGAAACUUAUAUUACAUUGAUUAAUGAUUUUCUAGCAUUCUUCAACUCAUCAUUCAUCUCACGUUGUUUUAUUGCUAGAAUCUCUCCAACACUUCUAGUUUUUGUUCAACUUUUCUUCCAUAUUUUUUCAUUUUUCAAAGCAUCAAAUUUUAUGCUUUCAAGAAUGAAUUAGUAGAAAAGGAAGUGUUUAAUAAAUAAGUUGAAACAUUGAAGAUAUUUUAACCAUAAAAUAGUGUAAGAAGAAUGAUGAGUUGCAGAAUGCUUUAAAAUCAUAAUCAGUGUAAGUUAUUCUUCAAAUAUAACACAAUUGUUCAUAUAAUUAUUUUUCUAACCAAUUUUUAAAAGUUAUAUGUUCAGUAUAUGGUUUAGUGAAAUAAGCAAUCCACAUUAGAUUUAAUAAACUCAAAUAUUGUUUUACCCCUCAGUUUUAUGAGAUAACUGAGGUAAAAGUGUGGUAUAUUCGUCGGUGAAUUUACAAAACCGAGGGGACAUAUGUUUUCUCCAUUUCAUAAUUUCAAAAAGGUUUUCCUGGAUAUCGAACCCAUGAGCUUUUCACAUAUCUGUCAUUUUUUUAAAAACCCAGAGGUAAAGUUUUCACUUUUCAUGACGUCCUUUGUUACCUCGCCUAUUUAGCCGAUGUUAAAUGCAUUUCGCGUCUGAGGUUAAAUGUGAUUUUUCUAGUAGUGUGUUUGUCUGUCUGAGUGACCCAAGUAUUGUAAAAGUAAGAAAGUAGCUUGAGAGUAUUAAGACAACUCACAGACACACUCACACCUAAAACUAUUUUGUCAAAUGUGUUUAAACUUAAAACUCAUUUUAUAAGCCAAGACGAGUGAUUAAAAAGUUGUCCAAACCUUUUAAAAUCAUUUUUUCAACUAACCUAUCAAUUAGUUAAUUCUGAUAAUCAAUUGGAAAAGCCUUUUUGAGGCAUCUAAUUGAUUAGAGAAUCAAGCUAAUCAAAUAUAAAAAUGACAAUUGAUUAAUGAAAUGACAUGGAUAACACAUUAAUGACUUGCAACAGAUAACACAUUAAUGACUUGCAACAACUAUAUAUCCAAUACUUCACAUUUGAGUGUGGUAAUUGAUUAAAAGUGAGUUGUCUAAUCAAUUAGAAAAUUAUGCUAAUCAAUUAGAUAAUUAAUUCAGCCCAUGUAUCAUUUCCAUUUCAGGAUUUUCCAACUAAUAUAUAAAGGAGGUCCACCUCCACUUUAAACCACGCCACUUUCCAACAUUUUCAUAUUUCUUUGAAAUUUAUCUUUCUCCCUUUCUCUCUAGAAAAUAUUUUCUUUCACUUCUUAAUUCGUGUCAGUUGUUUAUAUUCUUAAGGGUGUGAUACUCUCAAGAGGCCGAGUUUGGUUAUUGAGAUAAACCUGUCAUAAAGUAUUUGCAUUGGGUUUCUUAAGCUUUUUCGGAAAAAGUUUUGUUUUGUUUACUAAGAUAAGCCAUAAAUCUCUAAACGGUUUGCUAGUUUAGCCUGGGGUAAAAUAUGAAUUUUCACAUUCAUGUUUGAUUCAAAUCAUGCCUAACCCCGAUUCGAAUCACUCUUCUUAAAAUAGACUUUUAGAGUAAAUUGAAAUGAAAUUUUGAAACUAAAGUUAGUAUGAUAUGAACCCUUCAUUCAUGAGUUUCUUGAUCCAAAUAAUCGACUAAUUUGACUUGAACCAAUAUUACAUUGACUUUUACCUUAGGGGUUUGAUUAUGCAUUCAAAAACAAGAUUUUUUUGCAAAACACCAUUUAAAAAACUGCACUCAAUUCUAAGACAUUUGCAAAGAUCUAACUAGAGAAUACUCAUUUACAAAAGAGAUAAAUGAUAAACGAUAAUAAAUAAGACAAACAACAAAACCAAAGUCCUACAGGGAAGAGCAACUUCAAAAAGAAAUACUUUUUAUUCAUGAACUUUAGUCUGAGAGAGUUACCACACAACCAAACUCGUGGAAUACUAAUUUGUCCAACUACUUCAGGAAAACUUUUUUCCAUAUCUACCUAUUUAGUUUGAAUGUUAGCCAAAUUUAACGUUUCAUCUCCACUAGAUUCCCCAUAGGGUUUUUGAUGUGGCAAAAGUAUCAGUUGUGAAUUUAAAGUAAUAAAGUGUACCCAUUAUUUAAUAAUCGACUAAACCUGUGAAUAUCAUGCUAUCAAAAUGAUUAGAUGAAUUUGAGUAACAACUUUUGUUUGAACUUGGUUCCCUUAAACCCUUUGAAUUGUAGAAGUGGAAGAAUUGGCACUAGAAUUUGAUCAUUAUGCCCCAUAUUAUGUGGCUUACUGAACCUCAUUAUGAACCAUAGGUUUAAUAGUAUUAGCGAGUGGUUGAGAGACUUAAUACUGUAUGCCAUGUAAACUCGUGACUAUCUGUUGUCUAAUAAAGUAUAUUGUCAUUACCACUGGUGUUUCAGGUGGAACAACAUGUGUGUCUCUAGAAGCCUUUGAAAGAAGAUGAUGAUGUUGGAAUUCCUAAUGUUUGUGGAGGUCCAUUAGGUCUUUGUAGCAUGACCCCUUUGAUGUUGAUGAAAGUGAUUGAUCUUUGUUGUUGACAUUUAUUUUUUAAAAUGCAAGUGCAUAAGCAAAAUUUAGUCUUGACUAGGCGAACUAAAUUUUUAUUAGUUGUACUUGUAAUGUCCCAUUGGAUGUGUUAACCAGUCGACAAAUAUCUCUCAACGAUGAUUCCUUGUUCUUUAAGUGAUUAAGUUGAGGAAGAAAUUACAUUCCCCAAAUGUGACUUCCUUAAUUACUCUAACGAGUGGUAAGCACAAUGUUUUGGGAUGUUUGAGCCACUGAACUUAAAAUGCAUGAAAUGUAACCUAAAGAGAGAAAUACUAAACUAUAAGAAUACUUGUAUGAUUGUUUGUGUGUUUCAAAAUAUUACAGUUUAGUAUUAUAUAUAAUUUAUAAAAAAAUUAUUCUUGGUAAACUAUUUACGUGAGUGAUACACGAGUUUUUCUCUUAUUAGGGAUAUGUGGCGUCUCACAUUCGGUUUGAUUCUCUCAUUUUACGACUUUUUUCUCCUUAUCCAUGCAUGCACAAUUUUGUCAAAAUAUUCUUCUUUACAUUUAGUUUAUUCGAUUAGUGGUACUUUACAUUUAGCUUUAUUCGGUUAGUGGUGCUAUAAACAUAGAUUACUAGUAAAAUAUCCAAUAAUCAAGUCCUAAUGAACUAUGAUUCCAACACUUUCACAACCUCCGUAGACCUCAAUAAACUUAAGAAAGAUUUGACUACGUCACAUUCAAAUACAUUUUGCACUCACUUAAACUUAUAUCAUUACAAAUGUAUAUGAUUUAAACUUAUACCAAUACCAAGAACAUUCAUUGUUACUAAAUUAUAUGUGAUCUCAACUAACAAUUAUUUAUUGUUAAGCGUAAAUAAGUUUGAGGCAAAAUGGUAGAUUGCACAAAAAUCAUCUUGGACAUCGGAUAUACUCAAAAGUUCAUGGGAGCACAUACUCACGAUAAGAAAUUGAUAUAAAAUCUUAUACAACUUUUCAAAAAACAAAGAAUGAUAAAGUUAUUUCGUAAUUUGCAAGGGGAUGAGACAAGUUACAACACAACUUUGUUGAGUGGGGGAAGGAUUGAGAAAACAGAAUAUUUUGCUCUCUUUUAUUCCUCUUUUUCCUUUUCCCCUUUGUAUUCAAAUGUGUGUCCCACUGUGCAUCCUUUUUCUAAUGUCAUCUUUAUAUCAAAGACCUCUAUAGUCUUUUAACUGUGACUUUAUAAUAAACUAGCAAGAUAAAGAUAGAUGGCAAGAAAAGAUAAGACAUUGAGAAAAUAAAAAGGAGAGAAGAAGAAAAGAUUCCAAAAGCAAAUUUGCAAUGGAGAAAAAGGCUCAUAUCUGAUCAAUGGUCCAAUGCCAUGCCAUUAUAAGUUUGACAAACUUAAAUCAAUUUAUUUACCUGCAUGAGAAAAUAUUCAAAUAAAAUAAGGAAUUAUUGAAUAAUUAAUUAGAUUUUUGCUUAAGAUUAUAAAGAAAAUUAUAUGGUGUAUUUACCGUGGUGUCCCUCACAAAUCCUUCUCAAGAAAGCCAGGAAAAUUAUAAGUAUUGCUACCGCUGCUAUUAAUCCAAUAAUUAUGGCAAAUGUCUUCUCACUAUCAUUGUCUGAUUUACCUGUAGGACGAUCCACCAAGAAUCAAACUUUUAUUAUCGCAAAAAUAAAUAAAAAGAAACUUUUUUCUUCAAAAUAAUAUUAAAAAUAAAUAAUUAUUCAAUUGAUAAUUAUGUAAUAAUUUCAAAUAUAAGAGUGCGGAAUUAUAAUAUUUAUUUAUUUAUUUUUAAAUAAUAUUUUAAAAAUCAGAUUGAUCAUCAAAUUGGUGAGGAUAUUAGAUUACUGGAUCACUGAUCUAAUGGCAUGAUUAAAUCAGAUAAAAUCGAAUAACUCGGUUGAGUAAAUCGAUCUCUAUAACAAUCUUUUAAAACUAUUUAAUUAAACUUAUUCUAAUUUAAAUAAAAAAUAUAAUUCUCUCAAUAAUCUAUCACAGUAUCAGUCUUUCUCUAUCUCAUAAAAAAUAUAAUUCUCUCAAUAAUCUAUCACAGUAUCGGUCUUUCACAAUAAAUUAUAUUAAACAAAUAAAUUUACCAUGAGACUUGGAGUAAGCAUGGCCCCCACCAGCACCACCAGUAGAGUACCUCGCAUAACACUUGGCUAAAAACAUAUCUCCGUAAUCCGCCGCUGGACAGUCACUUCUCAGCCGUUGGAUCGCCUCCGAAACACAAUCCUGACACUCCAAAAAACUCAAAUCCCCAAUACACUGCACCAUUCCUUUCAGCUGACCCGACCCACCAGCCCGAAAAUACCCACCUGAACCCACCAACCCAGCCAAUACAGCAUCUCGGGUACUCGGGUCAUACCCGAUUGAAGACCCACAUUUUUUCAACACCACCGUUUUAUCCACCACGCCCAAAAACUUAACAUUAUCAUAUUUCACGUAACAUCCUUCUAGCUGCACUACGCCCCCACGCGUGACCGAACAUAUGUCACCGGCGCGUGAGACAGCGCGUGAAACGCAGGAGGCGCAGUCUGGCAUGGAGAGGUCGCCGCGGCAUUGGUAGAGACCGUAAACGAUGUCGUUGGGAUUUGAAGCGACGAUGGUGAAGUUGUUGUAGGAUGUGUAGGUUGCUGAGUUAACUAGUGAAGUGAGGAGUGAGUUGAGGUUGAACUCGUAGGGUGAGGUUGAGGUGAAUGUCUGUUGUGUGCAACCACCGUAGAUGAAUGUGUCUGUGGAGAAGGAAAGAGAAUGGAGAAUGAAAAUUAAGAAGAAUAAAAGGGAGAGGAACGUUUUUGUUUUGACCAUUUCGGUUCUUCUCAACGUUUGUGUUAUGUUUGAUAUUUUGUUGGAGAGAGAAACAAUUAGCUAGCUAGUUUUGGUGGUUUUGAAUAUGUAUGUUGACGUACGUAAGAUUGAUAUAUACAUGCAGUUUUUCUUUUGGUGUUGCUACUUAAUCAUGCCCAUAUUGCUUCGUAAUUGGGGAGUGAAGACUUGAAGGCCUCUCUAUCAUUUUAGUUUAGGGGUUCUAUAUGAUGCUGCAUGAAACAUGAAACAGGUCUACAACUAUGAAGUAUAGACUCUAACACGGACAUUGAGAUACGAUACGAUACAAAUACUCUCGAAUUGAUAAUAUUAAAAAUAUAAGAUGCGACAUGUAAUAUGUAAGAUGAUUAGUAUUUAAAUUUCAUUUAUCCAUUUAUUAUUAAAAUAGUUAAAAUUAUCCUAAUCAACAACUAUUUUAGAAAUAUGUGAGAUUUGACUUAAAUAUAUAUAUAAAAUAUAUUGAAGUAAAGAAAAAAUCAAUUCUUUUAUAAAUAUUUGUUUAAAUUGUUCGAUAUAUGUUGUAUGAUUGUCAAACGGUUCUCAUAUAUUGAUUAAAACUGUUGAAAAAUUUAAAACUAUUGAAGUAAAGAUAAUAAAUCUUUGAUUUAGGGAUACUUUUUUAUAUAUGUCAUACAUCAAUUAUUAGUUUCUACCGUGGUUACUUUUAAUAUUAUUCAAAUACUAUGUUACCUUUUUUAUGAUGCAAGUGUCAUGUAGAACACCCAUUAACAUUUAGAUUCAGAUAAGAUGAUGGUAAGCAAUUUCUUUCUUCGAACUCAAUUCAUGAUGGUAAGCAAUUUCUUUCUUCGAACUCAAUUUUGGGUACUUAGUAGGCAUGGCAACGGGAUCGGUUGGAAACGGUUUUUACCUCUUCCAAAUUUAAAUCCAAACCCCAAAACAAUCUUCAUUCCCCGCCCCAAACCCAAACGGGGAUGGAAAAUCAAAACCCAAAUCCGUCUCAAACGGGUUCGGAUUGGAUUCGGGUAUUCCCGCCCCGCCACCAUUUAUUUAGUGAAAUCAAUUUUUUAAAUAGAAAUAUUUAUUUUUUCAAAAUAAAAUUACACUACAAAUAAUAAAAUAAAACAAUCUAAAAAAAUUCCGUACAUACAUUUCAAAUAUUUUAAAUAAUAAAUUCAAAUUAAAAUAUCAAAACAUUGAACAUAUAUUUAAUAUUUUAAAUAUUCAAAAAUAAAUAAUAAUAUACAUAAUGAAAUAAACGGGACGGGUUCGGGGUGGGUACUAGUGUCCCCAUUACCCGACCCAUAUCCAUAUUUUAAAAUCGGGGAAAACCCAAACCCGAACCCAAACCCAAUCAAAACGGAUUUUUCCCGUCAAUUUCGGGGCGGAUUCGGGUUGGUACCCACGGAUAUGGGUUAUGUAGCCAUACCUAGUACUUAGUAGUGUUAAUAUUUUUUAAAGGAAAUCAUUACCACAAACACAUUAUGGUAUUUUUCGAGUUGAAAAUUAGUUAAAGUAAUUGCGGUAGAAAAUACACAAUUUCUACCGCAAAAACCGUCAUGUAUGUAAAUCAAUGAUCAAUUCAAUUUCAUAUAUCUUCUUGUGACUAAAAAUCAAAAGAUAACAAUGUGGCCAUGUGGAUCCAUCUCAAACGUUUCCCUUAUUAUUUUUAAAGUCAUUCUUUUUAAUGGUUCAUUAAUCCAAAGUAUCUUUUUUAUUGCUUUGCUUUUUCUUUUUAUCAAAAGAAGUCCCAAAACCAUUUGUAGAACUUUAAGUGUAACUGUAACCUUAAUCAUUUUAGGCAUUGCUGUACCAAUCACCAUAACCUAUAAGUUUAAUUAGUGAAUAUACUAGUAUAAGUAUAAUUAUAGCAAUAGAGAAAAAGAAGGGCGUGUACAUACCUAUGAAUCAAAUUAGGGGAAUAAUUAACAUGAAGUUUGUAUGACAUAACUUGCAUUGUUCGUUACAAAAAGUUGAGAAAACUAGAAGAGGAAAAAAGAUAGAUGCAGUCGGUUCACUCCUACCAAUAACUAUAGCGUGCGCACCCAAGUCAAAUUCUAAAUCUAACACAGUUAUGUUGUCAAAAUUACGAUUGCAUUUUUAUUUUGUGAAAAAAUUUCAAAAAGUUUAUAUUGCAAUUGUAAUUGCAGUUGAGUGAAAUUUAAACCAUAUCAAGUUAUCAACUAACUAUAUAUGGUUGUUUGAAAAUAUUAAGAAACUUAACACUUUAAGCAAGAUAGUUAUUUAUAGGUUGACAUUCAAAUUCUUAUUGUGUACAAAGUAAAACUUUGGUUUGAAAAAAAAUACAUCUAAUGUAUUUAUUAUAUAUUUGACUCUAGUUAUCCCAAGGGUUGAUUAUAAACUUUGUGAUGUGAUAUCGUUAGCUUUUGGUGUAGUUUCUAAGUUGUUCGUCGUAUUUUCCUUUGUUAAUCUUAUUAAUUUACGAUUGAAGAAAACUCACUGUCAUUGAAAAUUGAUGAUAAGAUAAAUUACAAAUGAACUUGUACUUUCUUUUUAUAUGAUGCUCAAAUCACCUUAACAAACUAACUGAAUUCUAAAACAAGAAAAAACUAACUAUCUAACCAACUAUUACAAAAUGUUGACCAAGCAAUAACUAAUUGUAUUUUAACAUCUCCCUUCAAGUUACGCUAUGUAUAUCACAUAGAUCUAACUUGGAAAAAUUAAAAAUAAGGGAUGUAUGAUGAAGAGUCUUUAUAAAAACAAACAUAAGUUAAUUGCAUAAUUGUUCACCGAAAAAAAAGAAUAAACUUCCUUUGAAUUUUUUCUACCCUCUUACAUGACAAUCUAUCUCAAUAUCUUUGUUCCUUUUAAGGAAAGUUAGGUUAUGAGCAAGAUGGAUGGAAAACUUACCAUCACAAUAGAUAGAAGCAAGAUCAUCAAAUGAAAUACCACAAUCUUUAAGUGAGUAAUGCAAGCAUUGAAUUUCACAUGUUAAGUAUGUUAAGGCUCGAUACUCAGCAUUAAUGGAUGGUCUAGAUACAAUGUUAUGCUUUUUAAAUUUCCAAGCAACAAAUGAAGAUCCGGAGAAAACAUAAUAAUCUAUGAUUGAUUUUCUUGUCUCAUGGCAUCUUGCUUAAUUAGAGUCUAUAAACCCAUGCAGCUUUAACUGAGUAUGUAUGGGAAGAGAUAUCCUUUUACCAAGAAAGGAUUUUAGAUAUCUCAAAAUGUAAGUGACUGCAACAAGUGAGUAACAAGGGGUGUUCUUUAACUACUAGAAAUAUUUGUAGUUGUAUUUAUUGAAAUAUCAUAUGGUUUGACAUUUAAGUAAUCAGUGUGUUCAAGUAAUUAAAUAGUAUAUUUUCUUUGAUUAACAAAGAUUCUCUUAUCUAAUAUCACAAUUUUCAAACCUAGGAAGAAUUUCUAAGAACUUUGAUGCAAAAAAUUUGGUCUAAAAAUAGCUUAACAUUUUGCAUUUCUGACAUACAAUUUUCAAAUAGCACAAUGCCAUCCACAUAGACUAAAAGAUUAGUAAAAUUAAUACUUUAUGACUUGGUAUAAAGGGAAUGAUCAACCUGAGACUAAUUAUAACCUAAGGUUAUUAAUGCUAAGGACCACUUUGAAUACCAGUGUAUGCUAGCAUACUUGAGUCCAUAUAGAGACUUGUGCAAUUUGUACACUUUAGGUGAGCCAACAACAUUGGCAGGGUGACCAGAAGGCAAGUCCAUCUAGGUUCUUCCAUUCAAUUCUCCAUGUAGUUAUACAUUAUUGGCAUUUAGAUGUUCAAGGUGUCAAUACUUAAUAGAUGCCAAAGCUAAAAGAACUUUCAUUGUGUUGAUUUUUGCAACUGGUGAAAGUGUGUCAAAGCAAUCAACCUCUUCCAUUUGAUUGUACCUCAUAGCAAUCAACCUUGCCUUAUACUUCUCAAUUGAGCCAUCUGCAUUAUAUUUGAUCUUGUAUGUCCACUUGCACCUAACUAAACCAUUUCUUGUGGGAAUAUCAAUAAUUGGCCAUGUAUUUUUUUAUCAAAAGCAUGUAACUUGAUAUCUGAAAUUAUGUUCCUGAGGGGACAGAUGCUAGACACGAUGUUGAGACAAUUGGUCUAACUUGGUAAACUAGUAUGCCAUCAAUAUAACAACAAUAAUAACAUAAUGCAUAAAUCAAUAAAAUAAGAUGAGAGAUUGGUAAUCCAGUUUGGUGAAAUCACAUAUACGUCUGGAGGGCACUCUAUCCAAGAAAGGAAAUUCAUUACUUUGAAUUAGUACAAUUAGUCUUAUAGAAACACCAAGCCCAUGAUGUCCAAUGCCUCAUCCUAAUCGUAGUGACUUUCUAUUUAGGACUCCCCCUAAAUAUGAGAACCCAUUUCACUUUCUCUUAAUCACUAAUCCUAAGUGAUCAACUUCAAUAACAACAAUAUUAAAUAUUGAUUGUACAACUCAACUAAGACAAACCAACAAUCAUGUCAAGUUACAAAAGAAAUAGUGUGAUGUACAUAAACAAGGCCUAACACCUAUCCUUAUGAUAUGAGUGGUAAUAUUGACGUGGAAUACAAGUAACGAAAGACUCAAAACCAUAGUGCAAAGAACUUAAUCCUUAUGAUAUGAUUAUAUAUUCAACAAUUGUCAAACAAAUUACACGAGCAUUAUUAAAUAAUCUAUAACAAAUCUCAUUGAAUCUCAAUCAGAAAUUUUACACCUAACAUCCAUCAUGGCCUGCUGACAAGGGCUUUAUACUAGAACAACGUGUCCCAUAUCUUGCACUAGAACAUCCAAAUUAACUCUCUUCAUGAAUUAUAAAUAUCUUUGUAGAGUGAAUCUUGGAUUUAAUAAAUCUAAACCAAAACUGCAAUAACAUUUCUCUGUUGUCAAAGACUAGAUGUUGCAGCACACAUGUUGGAACAUUGUGUUCCACAUGUGUCCCCUCUGCACCAGAACGAAUUGAACAUACUCCAUGUGUUUUGCAUAAUGCAAUCAAUCCAAAAGGAACAACAGUAUCCGUGGCUUGCUUCUAACAACCAACCCGGGAGGCUUGGUUUUAAGUUUUAGGCUCAAUAUGGAUAAAUAUAGAAUAACAAUAGGCUUUGUAUGUAGUUUCACAAUGUUGGUAUGAUAAAAUCGAUGACAACAAGUAUGCAACAUUAGGAGAAAAUCCAAUAUUAGCAUCCAAAACAGAAUUACAAUGAAAAUCUUGCAGUUAUAUAAUUUUUUAUUUAUUAUUCUAGUAGUUUUUUUUAAAGCGAUUGGACUGGGAAAAGAGUCGGAAUCAUCCAUCGUGACAACUAUUACAUGGUCAAAUUUUGAUAAAUAAGAGACAUCAUUAUCCAGAUAAGAAGAAUGAUAAGGGCCAAAUGUGUAUGUGACAGGGUUAGGAAUGAGAUCAUCAAUGAUAACAUGAUCUUGAUUUUAUGGCUCUUUGGAUGGUGAAACUGACACAAAUUGUGAAUAUUGAAAAGUAAAGAAGUUCUCAUUAAGGACUCCAUUCUAGAGACAACAAUUAUGAGAAUUUUACCCAUAGAAAGUGUAUCCCUUUUUACCAUAAUUAUACCUAAGUAAAACAAAUUUCCUAGUUCUAGAGUCAAACUUGGUUCAAUAAGCUUGCAAGGUGGCUGCAUAGCUCAAGCAACUAAAUAUCUCAAGAUGCAUGCAAGAAGGUGUUUGUUUAUAUAAAAGUUCAUAAGGAUUUUAGUACUUAAGUAAGGGACUAUUGAUUUUAUGUAUAAUAUGAACAUGUUGGAUGCUAAAAUUUUACAUUGACAAAAGGAUGAAGGAAUGGAAGGAAAAAGACCUAGCCACAAUCAAAAUGUGUUGUUGCUUUCGUUUCACCGCACCAUUUUGUUAUUGAGUUUCUAAACAAGAUCUUUGGUGGAUUAUACCUGUAGAAGAAAAGAAAUCAUCAACGGAUAACUAAGUUCCAUUGUUAUACCUAAAUCACUUUAGGGUAGUAUGAAACUGAUUCUCUAUGUAUGCAACAAAAUUAAUCAAACUUUAUGUUGUUUCAUCUUUGGUUUUGACAAAGAUGAUCCAAGUAAAACUACUAAAGUCAUCAACCAAAGUUAGAAAAUAUAUAUGUCCCAAAAGAGACACAAUAGAGAAGGAACCCACAGAUAACCAUGCAAUAAAUCAAAGGGUGUAGAAGAAGAAGAAAUAUAAUAAGUAAAAGACAAUUUUUUUCUUAGUAUAAUGGUAGGAAUCAUAAUGUAACAUUUUAUUUUUACUAGAAACAAAGGGAAAAACUUUAAAAGGCAUGCAAACCAAAUCUAGCUUUUAAUAUAUAUAUAUAUAUAUGAUUGUUCCUUUUUUGUAUUAGCUGCAUUAUACAAAACAACAUGGUAUUUUCAAACUAUUUUUUGAGGAAAGGACACAUGUGGGAUAUGACGUUCUAGCAGGUGUGACACUUCUGGCCCUUGGUGUUGCUACUGCAUUGGUGUAUUUACUGUUUGUAUUUUGAGCACAUUUUAAAAAAAAAUCUCACUGAUUUGUUACUAGCAUUUAGCAACCUAAUUACUUAUAUUUGUUUGAUGAUUUAUUAAGAUCAAAUUUAAAUAUUUGGAAAUUUAAUUUUGAAUUCAAAUCAAAUCAACUCUUGUUGUGGAGUUGUUUUGAAAAAUAAAUCUUAAACAAAUCUCCACUUUAUCUGCUGAUCAAUUCUUAUGUCCAUUAGAGGAAACCCCAAUAGAUGAAUUCUUGAAGGUGAGAAAAAUAUAAGAAGGGGGAGUUAAAUUGUGUUGACUUUUUCUUUCUUUUUAAAUUCUUGGUCAAAUUCUAAACACAAGGUAUAUAAUCUGAAUCAAUCAGAGGUAGGCAGCAUAUAAAAAAAAUAUUCAUAUCUAGGCGGGAUAUCUACCCCCUAAAAAUUACAAAUAACCCAACUAUAAUAAUAUUUAAGAUGGAAAGCGUUCCAAGUUCUGGAUAGGAUAUGUCCAUCUAAUUCUUGCAACUUGUAAGCUCUGUGGGGGAGCUUAUGGAAUAUGCGAUAUAGUCCUUCCCAAUUGGGUUGUGGCUUUCCCUACUAUGCAAGCAUAAUCCCUUGUUUUAAGACUAGGCCGCCUUCUAGCAUUUCCCUCUGCUUGGCUUUGUAGAUGUACCUUUUGGUGGCUCUAUGCUUGGUGGAGAAUUAUUGAAUAUGCACGACUUCACUCAAUUUAUUGACCAAGUAUGCAACAUAUUCCAGUCCUACCUUGUUUACCUCUUGAUCAAAUUGGGAGCGUCACCACGAGGUUGGUUCAAUCUUUAUAAGAAGCAUAAUGUCUGCUUUAUACACCAUGGUGAAUGGAGUUUCCUUUGUAGUAAAGUGAGGGGUGAUAUGAUAUGACCAUAAUAUUUCAUGAAGCAGUUCCGCUCAUAAGCCUUUGGCAUUAUCGAGCUUCUUUUUAAUCCCUUUAGAAUCACCUUAUUUUCCAAUUCAGCUUGCCCAUUAGCUUACAAGUGUACAAGAGAUACAAACAUUGCUUGCACUCCCAAAUCUAGGAAAAAGUCAGUGACCAUAGCGCUGGCUAACUGGGUUCCGUUGCCGGAGACAAUGGCUCUGGGAAGCCAAAACCUGCAUAUAAUUUUCUUCCAGUAGAAGCAACGAACUAUUCCAGCUGUGAUUUUCGCGAAAUCUUAUGCCUUUAUCCAUUUUGUGAAGUAAUCUACUCCCAAUAUCAAGAAUAUUAGUUGGCCUGGCGCCAGGUGGAACAUACCUAAGAUGUUCACCCCCAUUGGUAGAAAGGCCAAUGUGACGUCAUUGAUUGAAAAAGCUCAGCUGGAGCAUGAUGAAGGUUAGCAUGACUCUGAAACUGGUCACACUUCUUGGGAAAGGAUAUGUUAUUCUUCAUUAGGGUAGACCAAUAGUAUCCCGCCCUAAGUAAUUUGUAGGCAAGAGCUUUUCUGCCAAAAUGACUGUCGUAGGCUCUUGUGUGGACUUCAGCAAGUACCAGGGUGGUUCCAUGCUCUCCUAUACACCUAAUUAUUGGAGAUUUUCUCCCCAUUUUAUAAUUUUUUUCCUGAGAGAAAGGUGUACUUGGCAUUCUUCUUUCGGGCCUUCUUAGUUUCCCCUUAAUCCGGUGGGGUUCGUCCUCACGUAGGUAUCAAAAUAUGGGCGAUAUCCAACUAUAUUCAUGGAAAAUUUCCAGGGAGUAAACUUCGCCUGCCUCAAUGUUAGGGAUGGUGAGAGUCUCCUAGAUCAUUGUUUUGUUAAACCAUGUUGUUUUUAAAUUGGCAAGCUUAGACAUGAGUUAUGCUCUGAAGUUAUGUUCAUGGUGAACAUGUUAUACAUCAAAAGAUAUAAAGAGUGUAGAUAUAAUGUGUACCUUGUGUAGAUAUUUUAUCAGUUGAGGCUCUUUAGCCUGGUACUAUCUAAAGACUUGGGUAGCGACUAAUUGGGAGGCUCUCAUCUCUAGGGCAGAGACCAUGCCAACAAUGAGGGCUUAAUACUCUUCCUGAUUGUUGCUAGCUUUGAACUCAAACUUUAAUGCUUGCUCGAUCAGUAUGUCACCAUGCCCUUCCAAUAUUGUUCAUGUGCCACUCCCAUUCACGUUUGAGGCAUCAUCAAUUAAUAAUUUCCACCCUAGGGGCCUCUAUUUGUCUGCAGGUGAGCUAAAUUCUGCCACAAAAUCUGCCAGAGCUUGGGAUUCAAUGCUUCCUAUCGGAGUGUAUUAGAGUUGUACUCUAAGAGCUCUACUACCCAAGGCAUCAUUCUUCCUACCAUAUUUGGUUAUUUUAAGAUAUGUCAAACAAGAUUGUUGAUUUUCACGAGGAUCUUAUGUCCCUGGAAAUAAGGCUGCAACUUUCUCGAUCUGACAAUGACAGCUAGUGCUAGCUCUCAAUAUUUUGAUACUUUGUUUCGGUGCCUCUGAACACCUUGCUAAUGAAAAACAUAGCUCUAUCUACUUUAUCCAUGUCUUGGAAAAGUACUGAGCUCAACGCCUGAUCUGUAACUGAGAAGUAAAGGAGUAGUAACGAUUCUUCUCUCGGGCGAGUGAGAAUGGGCGGUAAUGUGAAGAAGGAUUUUACCUUCGAGAAAUCCUCCUUGCAUUCUAUGGUCCAGUUGAACCUAUCUUUCAUCUUCAGAGUGGAAAAGAAAAGGAAAUCCUUGUCGUCCUCACAUGAGAGGGAACACGAUAGGGCAACGAGGCGACCUGAAAGCUGCCCCACUUCCUUGAAAUUGGUGGGGCUUCUCAUAUCAAUGACGACCUAAUAUUUAUCCGGAUUGGCUUUAAUUCCUCUCUUUGUCAACAUGUAUCCAAGGAACUUAUCGGCUUAAACCCCAAAAGAACACUUGGCAUGAUUCAAGCACAUGUUAUACUUUCUGACUGAAUGCAGGACAUCCUUUAAGUCUGCAGCAUGGUUGCACCCUAUGGUGGUUUUCACUAUCAUUUCUUCCACAUAGACCUUUAGGUUACUCCUUGUUCGGAUGGAUAACAUAACGCCCAUGAGUCGAUGGUAGGUGGCCACAAUGCUUUUAAGGCCGAAGGGUAUGACAUUAUAGUAGUAGUUGUCAUGAUUUGACAUGAAGGCUGCCUUGGGGAGUCUAGGGGAUCCAUUUGAAUCUGGUUGUACCUUGAGUAGGCAUCCAUGAAACUCAACAUGAAAUAGCUAGAGGACCCAUCAAUCAGGCAAUCAAUGUCGAGCAGAGGAUAUGGGUCCUUAGGGCAGGCAAUAUUUAGGUCCAUUGAAGUCCACACACAUGCGUAUCAUAUUCAUUGCUUUCCUCACCAACACCAUGUUGGCUAACUAGGUAGGAUAUUGUUUUUCAUAAUGAACCCAGUGCUGGAAAAAUUGCCUACCUCCUCAUCAAUGACGGUCCUCUUCUCCUCGCCAACUUUCUACUCCGUUUGCGCCAUAGGCUUGGCAAAAGGUUCGAAUGCAAGGCGAUGGCACACACUGUAGCGUAUAUCCCAAACAUGUCAAAGGGAUCCCAGGUGAACAAGUCGAUGUUUCUAAUUAGUUGGUUGACUAACUCAUGUUAUUCUUCCCCAGUUAGCGAAGUGCAUAUCUAUGUUACUUGAUAGGUUGAUGGGUCUAUCUUGAUUUCCUUCAGGUCCUCCGUGGGCAUGAAGCUCUCAUUGU
Molecule: long non-coding RNA, 21456 nt
Filed under: Lathyrus oleraceus (garden pea)
Lineage: Eukaryota; Viridiplantae; Streptophyta; Magnoliopsida; Fabales; Fabaceae
Description: Pisum sativum (pea) long non-coding RNA (PSAT_LNC019023)
Source: RNAcentral